UACGGAGGAUGCAAGCGUUAUCCGGAAUGAUUGGGCGUAAAGCGUCCGCAGGUGGCUGUUCAAGUCUGCUGUCAAAGACCGGGGCUUAACUUCGGAAAGGCAGUGGAAACUGAACAGCUAGAGUAUGGUAGGGGCAAAGGGAAUUCCUGGUGUAGCGGUGAAAUGCGUAGAUAUCAGGAAGAACAUCGGUGGCGAAGGCGGUCUGCUGGGCCAUAACUGACACUCAGGGACGAAAGCGAGGGGAGCGAAUGGG
Molecule: ribosomal RNA, 253 nt
Filed under: uncultured bacterium
Lineage: Bacteria
Description: partial 16S ribosomal RNA
Rfam family: Bacterial small subunit ribosomal RNA
Source: RNAcentral